Molecule: long non-coding RNA, 915 nt
Filed under: Mytilus galloprovincialis (Mediterranean mussel)
Lineage: Eukaryota; Metazoa; Mollusca; Bivalvia; Mytilida; Mytilidae
Source: RNAcentral
GAACAUAAUUUGUGUGUAUGGCAAGUUGUAUAUAAGCAGUCUAUUUGUAUUUAUUUUUAUAUGAGGUACUGAUAUUGUUUAUUUCCCAAGUUUAUAAUUGAUGAUUUGAAUAACACCUUGGGAAAUGUAUUUUGCUGGUUGGGCAAGCAUUAGCUAUCAUCCAGCUGUGGUCCUGCAUGAACUCAGGUGUAUACUAUUGAUGAGAAUUCUGUUAAAACUUUUGGCUUUAGAACAGGAAAAUUCUCAUGAAGGUGAGUUCAUUACUCCUGAGCUUUGGAAAUCUCUCUGGACUCAUAUUUUUAAAACUGGUAAGUCCAGAGAGACAUCAAAAUUUGUGUUCACUGUUGAACUUGCUGAGGUAAAUAAAUUGUGAGUUGUGGUCUUGCCUUCAAAAAUUCCAAUUGAUACAGUCUUUUUACAUAAUUGGUACUUAAUCAAGUUGUAUUGUACAAUAGAUGUAUAUAUGAUUGUGUGUGGAUGUUUGUAGAGAUAGGAGGGUAAACUGGGGUGCGGAUUGAACACUCAUUUUGUGCUGUUAUCAUGGUAGUAUGAAAUACACAUGUUUUGUUUUGAAGUUUUAGGUAAAUAUGUAAUUUUGUUGAUAAAGAAAUUCAAUAUAAUGCUUUUAAAAUCAGUCUUUUAAAGUUCAGGAUUUAAAAAAAAAUAGGAUUUAAAAUCUAAUCCAGCACUGAGCCUUUAUCUUCAAAUUUGGCACAUUUAUAUUCAUCAAGGGGAGAUAACAAAAUAUUUUUGAUUUUUUUAUCUGAUAUCUGUACUUAUCUUUUUUAUAUGGAUAAAUAAGUUAAUCCUAUGUUAUUCUGUCAAUUUUUUUUUUUUUGAAUUUAAACUAUUCUAACAAAGUUACAUAUUGAUAUACUUGUAGACUAUUUUACACUGUUUUAAAUAGUGGUACAC